AGGGGAGCUUGCUCCCCGGAUGCCAAGCGGCGGACGGGUGAGUAAUGCAUAGGAAUCUGCCCGAUAGUGGGGGAUAACGUGGGGAAACCCCACGCUAAUACCGCAGACGUCCUACGGGAGAAAGCGGAGGAUCUUCGGAUUUCGCGCUAUCGGAUGAGCCUAUGUCGGAUUAGCUAGUUGGUAAGGUAACGGCUUACCAAGGCGACGAUCCGUAGCUGGUCUGAGAGGAUGAUCAGCCACACUGGGACUGAGACACGGCCCAGACUCCUACGGGAGGCAGCAGUGGGGAAUAUUGGACAAUGGGCGAAAGCCUGAUCCAGCCAUGCCGCGUGUGUGAAGAAGGCUUUCGGGUUGUAAAGCACUUUCAGCGAGGAAGAAAGCCUCCGGGUUAAUACCCUGGAGGAAGGACAUCACUCGCAGAAGAAGCACCGGCUAACUCCGUGCCAGCAGCCGCGGUAAUACGGAGGGUGCGAGCGUUAAUCGGAAUUACUGGGCGUAAAGCGCGCGUAGGUGGCUUGGCACGCCGGUUGUGAAAGCCCCGGGCUCAACCUGGGAACGGCAUCCGGAACGGCCAGGCUAGAGUGCAGGAGAGGAAGGUAGAAUUCCCGGUGUAGCGGUGAAAUGCGUAGAGAUCGGGAGGAAUACCAGUGGCGAAGGCGGCCUUCUGGCCUGACACUGACACUGAGGUGCGAAAGCGUGGGUAGCAAACAGGAUUAGAUACCCUGGUAGUCCACGCCGUAAACGAUGUCGACUAGCCGUUGGGACCUUUAAGGACUUAGUGGCGCAGUUAACGCGAUAAGUCGACCGCCUGGGGAGUACGGCCGCAAGGUUAAAACUCAAAUGAAUUGACGGGGGCCCGCACAAGCGGUGGAGCAUGUGGUUUAAUUCGAUGCAACGCGAAGAACCUUACCUACCCUUGACAUCCUGCGAACCCUCUUGAG
Molecule: ribosomal RNA, 941 nt
Filed under: Salinicola socius
Lineage: Bacteria; Pseudomonadati; Pseudomonadota; Gammaproteobacteria; Oceanospirillales; Halomonadaceae
Description: bacterial SSU rRNA
Rfam family: Bacterial small subunit ribosomal RNA
Source: RNAcentral